Molecule: transfer RNA, 72 nt
Filed under: Bos taurus (domestic cattle)
Lineage: Eukaryota; Metazoa; Chordata; Mammalia; Artiodactyla; Bovidae
Also listed under: 3 other names
Rfam family: tRNA
About the family: Transfer RNA (tRNA) molecules are approximately 80 nucleotides in length. Their secondary structure includes four short double-helical elements and three loops (D, anti-codon, and T loops).
Source: Rfam by way of RNAcentral
UCCCUUGUGGCUCAGCUGGUAGAGAAUCCUCCUGCAAUGAGGGAAACCUGGGUUCGAUCCCUAGGUUGGGAA